CUAGCUCAUCCUGUAGAAUCCAGGGCUACAAUGCAGUACAAUAAUGUAAUGUCUAUGGGGUAGCAGCUCAUGAUCCCAGUGAGCCAAAAAAAAAAGGGAACAAGAAAAUGGAUUUGUAAAGAGUCUGUUUUCGUGACUCAAAUCAUACCAUUAAACUGAAGUUACCGCCUUCAUGAUCCCAAGGAUAUAGCGGAAAAAUGGAAGAAAAUGAAAAAUAAGAAUACAAAAGAUGGGGAUCAGGGAGUCAUCAAAAUUAUAAAAGAUGUAUGCAUACAAAGGUUUAAAAGGAAUUAAUGUGUAGGAUCGAGAGAAAAAGGGUGUUUAGUAGAAUUGUGGAAACUGGAAAUGAGAUCAGGAAGUUGCAUGUAAUGGGCAGAGGGAUUACUGGUCUUAAGCAGGUGAAGAAGGUACUGGAAGAGGUGGAUAUCACAGGCAAUCCUGAGUGCUCCAUCGUAGGAAUAACCAAACUCUUCCUCGGAGAUACGAAGCAGGUCCUCAAACAGAGGAUGAUUGAGGUAAUUGGCUUCCAUCUGAAACUUGCAUUGGAAUUGGAUGUCUUUCCCAACGUAGACUCUAAUGUGGCCUUCUGGGACAUCUACUGAUCUCUCCGACUCUGAAAGGAGGCUCUUUGCUCCACAGCACCAUAGCUUUCUCACGAUUGCACUCAUUCUCUUUUAAGUACUGGAUUGCUUUGCUUGAUUGGUUUUUGGGUAAUGAGUAG
Molecule: unclassified non-coding RNA, 721 nt
Filed under: Hevea brasiliensis (rubber tree)
Lineage: Eukaryota; Viridiplantae; Streptophyta; Magnoliopsida; Malpighiales; Euphorbiaceae
Source: RNAcentral